Molecule: ribosomal RNA, 468 nt
Filed under: uncultured bacterium
Lineage: Bacteria
Description: partial 16S ribosomal RNA
Rfam family: Bacterial small subunit ribosomal RNA
Source: RNAcentral
GGCGAACGCUGGCGGCGUGCUUAACACAUGCAAGUCGAACGGAAAGGCCCUGCUUUUGUGGGGUGCUCGAGUGGCGAACGGGUGGGUAACACGUGAGUAACCUGCCCUUGACUUUGGGAUAACUUCAGGAAACUGGGGCUAAUACCGGAUAGGAGCUCCUGCUGCAUGGUGGGGGUUGGAAAGUUUCGGCGGUUGGGGAUGGACUCGCGGCUUAUCAGCUUGUUGGUGGGGUAGUGGCUUACCAAGGCUUUGACGGGUAGCCGGCCUGAGAGGGUGACCGGCCACAUUGGGACUGAGAUACGGCCCAGACUCCUACGGGAGGCAGCAGCGGGGAAUAUUGCACAAUGGGCGGAAGCCUGAUGCAGCAACGCCGCGUGCGGGAUGACGGCCUUCGGGUUGUAAACCGCUUUCGCCUGUGACGAAGCGUGAGUGACGGUAAUGGGUAAAGAAGCACCGGCUAACUACGUG